Molecule: ribosomal RNA, 939 nt
Filed under: Funneliformis mosseae
Lineage: Eukaryota; Fungi; Glomeromycota; Glomeromycetes; Glomerales; Glomeraceae
Description: LSU rRNA
Rfam family: Eukaryotic large subunit ribosomal RNA
Source: RNAcentral
GACCUCAAAUCAGGUAAGAAUACCCGCUGAACUUAAGCAUAUCAAUAAGCGGAGGAAAAGAAAAUAACAAUGAUUCCCUCAGUAACGGCGAGCGAAGAGGGAUAAGCUCAAAUUUUAAAUCUGUUGGGUUCCGCUUAACAGAGUUGUAUUUUGAAGAAACGUUUUCUGCAUCCAGGAUUAGCCUAAAUCCUUUGGGAUAAGGUAUCAUGGAGGGUGAGAAUCCCGUUCAUGGUUAAUCUUAAGGAAGCUCUACGAUACGUUUUCCAAGAGUCGAGUUGUUUGGGAUUGCAGCUCAAAAUGGGAGGUAAAUUUCUCCUAAGGCUAAAUAUUGGCGAGAGACCGAUAGCGAACAAGUACCGUGAGGGAAAGAUGAAAAGAACUUUGAAAAGAGAGUUAAACAGUACGUGAAAUUGUUGAAAGGGAAACGAUUGAAGUCAGUCAUACCAAUGGGAAAUCAACCUUUUGAGCUUGGUUUCGUGGGUUUUGAAGAGUUUCAAAGCCUUCGGAUUCGCGAGAUUGGGAUCUCUCGGUGUACUUUCUCGUACGGUUAGUCAACAUCGGUUUUGAAUGUCAUAAAAUGACUGGAGGAAUGUAGCUUCGAUCUCGUAUUGAAGUGUUAUAGCCUUUGGUAGAUGUGAUGUUUGAGACCGAGGAUUGCAACGGAUACCCUUCAGGGCUAUUCGUCUGAUCUCUGAUACGUUGCCUUGAUGUUGAAAGCUUGCUUAUGAUGUUAGGGUAUUACGGUCAAAAGGUUAGAACGAAUUACAUUCGUUAAGGAUGUUGACGUAAUGACUUUAAACGACCCGUCUUGAAACACGGACCAAGGAGUCUAACAUAUAUGCGAGUGUUUGGGUGAUUAAACCCUUGCGCGUAAUGAAAGUAAUUUUGGUGAGAUCCGGGAAAAAAUUUUCGGAGCAUCAUCGACCGAUCAGGAUAUUU